AACACAUGCAAGUCGAACGGAAAGGCCCUGCUUGCAGGGUACUCGAGUGGCGAACGGGUGAGUAACACGUGGGUGAUCUGCCCUGCACUUCGGGAUAAGCCUGGGAAACUGGGUCUAAUACCGGAUAGGACCAUCGUUUAGUGUCGGUGGUGGAAAGUUUUUCGGUGCAGGAUGAGCUCGCGGCCUAUCAGCUUGUUGGUGGGGUAAUGGCCUACCAAGGCGUCGACGGGUAGCCGGCCUGAGAGGGUG
RNAcentral lists this ribosomal RNA (249 nucleotides) under Corynebacterium variabile. RNAcentral's name for it is "partial 16S ribosomal RNA". It matches the Rfam family "Bacterial small subunit ribosomal RNA", at positions 50 to 302 of the family's 1533-position model. The record is from RNAcentral. Lineage: Bacteria; Bacillati; Actinomycetota; Actinomycetes; Mycobacteriales; Corynebacteriaceae.